GAUGAACGCUGGCGGCGUGCCUAAUACAUGCAAGUCGAGCGAACAGAUAAGGAGCUUGCUCCUUUGACGUUAGCGGCGGACGGGUGAGUAACACGUGGGUAACCUACCUAUAAGACUGGCAUAACUCCGGGAAACCGGGUCUAAUGCCGGAUAACAUUUAGAACCGCAUGGUUCUAAAGUGAAAGAUGGUUUUGCUAUCACUUAUAGAUGGACCCGCGCCGUAUUAGCUAGUUGGUAAGGUAACGGCUUACCAAGGCAACGAUACGUAGCCGACCUGAGAGGGUGAUCGGCCACACUGGAACUGAGACACGGUCCAGACUCCUACGGGAGGCAGCAGUAGGGAAUCUUCCGCAAUGGGCGAAAGCCUGACGGAGCAACGCCGCGUGAGUGAUGAAGGUCUUCGGAUCGUAAAACUCUGUUAUUAGGGAAGAACAAAUGUGUAAGUAACUGUGCACGUCUUGACGGUACCUAAUCAGAAAGCCACGGCUAACUACGUG
This 497-nucleotide ribosomal RNA is filed under the name uncultured bacterium. RNAcentral's name for it is "partial 16S ribosomal RNA". It matches the Rfam family "Bacterial small subunit ribosomal RNA", at positions 28 to 507 of the family's 1533-position model. The record is from RNAcentral.